RNAcentral lists this ribosomal RNA (898 nucleotides) under uncultured archaeon. RNAcentral's name for it is "bacterial SSU rRNA". It matches the Rfam family "Archaeal small subunit ribosomal RNA", at positions 5 to 879 of the family's 1478-position model. The record is from RNAcentral.
CGGUUGAUCCUGCCGGACCCCACCGCUAUCGGGGUAGGACUAAGACAUGCUAGUCGUGCGUCUCCCAAGCCAUGUUGGAGACGCGGCUAACCGCUCAGUAACACGUAGCUAACCUGCCCUCGGGACGAGGAUAACCCCGGGAAACUGGGGCUAAUCCUCGAUAGGUGAGAAAGCCUGGAAUGGUUUCUCACCCAAAUGACAAUGGAACAUGCUUCCAUUGUCGCCCGAGGAUGGGGCUGCGUCCGAUCAGGUUGUUGGUGAGGUGACGGCUCACCAAGCCUUUAACCGGUACGGGCCGCGAGAGCGGGAGCCCGGAGAUGGGUACUGAGACAAGGACCCAGGCCCUACGGGGCGCAGCAGUCGCGAAAACUCCGCAAUGCGCGCAAGCGCGACGGGGCUACCCCGAGUGCCGUCCGCUGAGGACGGCUUUUCUCCGGUGUAAUGAGCCGAAGGAAUAAGGGGAGGGCAAGCCUGGUGUCAGCCGCCGCGGUAAUACCAGCUCCCCGAGUGGUGGGGAUGAUUAUUUGGCCUAAAGCGUCCGUAGCCGGCUCUGCAAGUCCCCCGUUAAAUCCAACGAUCUAAUCGUUGGGCUGCGGGGGAUACUGCAGGGCUAGGGGGCGGGAGAAGCCGACGGUACUCCUGGGGUAGGGGUGAAAUCCUAUAAUCCCAGGAGGACCACCAGUGGCGAAGGCUGUCGGCUAGAACGCGCCCGACGGUGAGGGACGAAAGCUGGGGGAGCGAUCCGGAUUAGAUACCCGGGUAGUCCCAGCUGUAAACGAUGCAGGCUAGGUGUUAGCGUGACUACGGGUCACGCUAGUGCCGCAGGGAAGCCGUUAAGCCUGCCGCCUGGGAAGUACGGUCGCAAGACUGAAACUUAAAGGAAUUGGCGGGGGAGCAC